GGCUGAUCUGAAGGUAGUGAGUUAUAUCAAUUGUUUGUUCAUAGUCAGUUAAAAAUCGAACUCCUGUUUCUACUUCCCAACUUCUCGCCAUUGCAUUUGACUAGUCUAAA
Molecule: unclassified non-coding RNA, 110 nt
Organism: Cercocebus atys (sooty mangabey)
Lineage: Eukaryota; Metazoa; Chordata; Mammalia; Primates; Cercopithecidae
Rfam family: Y RNA
About the family: Y RNAs are components of the Ro ribonucleoprotein particle (Ro RNP), in association with Ro60 and La proteins. The Y RNAs and Ro60 and La proteins are well conserved, but the function of the Ro RNP is not known.
Source: Ensembl